Molecule: long non-coding RNA, 373 nt
Filed under: Mytilus galloprovincialis (Mediterranean mussel)
Lineage: Eukaryota; Metazoa; Mollusca; Bivalvia; Mytilida; Mytilidae
Source: RNAcentral
UGCAAACUUCAUUAGAGAUUUGAAUUGAGAUCAGAUUUGAAAUAAGGGAAAGGGGGAUGUGAAAAAAAAAAUUGGGGGUCAAUUUUUUUCAUUUCAGAUUUCAUAAAUAAAAAGAAAAUUUCUUCAAACAUUUUUUUGAGAGGAUUAAUAUUCAACAGCAUAGUGAAUUGCUCAAAGGCAAAAUUUUUUGUUUAAGUUCAUUAGACCACAUUCAUUCUGUGUCAGAAACCUAUGCUGUGUCAACUAUUUAAUCACAAUCCAAAUUUAGAGCUGAAUCCAGCUUGAAUGUUGUGUCCAUACUUGCCCCAACCGUUCAGGGUUCAACCUCUGCGGUCGUAUAAUGCUGCGCCCUUCGAAGCAACUGGUUGUGUUU